Molecule: transfer RNA, 73 nt
Filed under: Bos taurus (domestic cattle)
Lineage: Eukaryota; Metazoa; Chordata; Mammalia; Artiodactyla; Bovidae
Also listed under: 3 other names
Rfam family: tRNA
About the family: Transfer RNA (tRNA) molecules are approximately 80 nucleotides in length. Their secondary structure includes four short double-helical elements and three loops (D, anti-codon, and T loops).
Source: Rfam by way of RNAcentral
UCCCUGAUGAUCCAGUGGUUAAGAAUCUGUACUUCCAUCACAGGGGACAUGGGUUCAAUUCCUGGUCAGGGAA